Molecule: ribosomal RNA, 253 nt
Filed under: uncultured bacterium
Lineage: Bacteria
Description: partial 16S ribosomal RNA
Rfam family: Bacterial small subunit ribosomal RNA
Source: RNAcentral
UACCGAGGAGCCAAGCGUUGUCCGGAUUGACUGGGCGUAAAGCGCACGCAGGCGGUUUGGCGCGUGGGGUGUGAAAUCUGGCCGCUUAACGGCCAGGCGCCAUCCCAUACGGCCGGACUGGAGCCUUGCAGAGGUCGGUGGAAUUGCCGGUGUAGUGGUGAAAUGCGUAGAGAUCGGCAGGAACACCCAGGGGGAAACCAGCCGACUGGGCAUCUGCUGACGCUGAGGUGCGAGAGCGUGGGGAGCGAACCGG